CCUUUUUUGCAAAUCUGAUGUUAUUGCAGUUAUACCGAGUUUUUGCAGUUUACAGUGUAAAUUUUGUUCUCUUUUCACUGCCAAAGAUGUAUAAUACAUACAAAUUUGAAAAAGAAUGUGAACUAUUGUAACUCUUGAAAGAUAGUAAUUGUACUUAAUUGAAUACUUAAUGACCAUAUGCAUGCAUAGAAGCUUGCAGGAAUAGAAGAAGUUGCACUUCUGUAUGUUGCCGGCUUUCUCUUUUCUUGCAGGGCAUUGUUAUGGGUCAUUGAAGCCGGUGGCUUGGUCUAAGGGCAACUAACCCAUCUGUAGAAUCAUGUAAUAAAAAAUUCAUGACAGGCUUGGGGAGGAGACCAAAGUACAAAGGACGGCCAAUUAUAUUUGGUUUAGUGACCGACUAAAGGUGUGAGCAUUACAAAUGAGGUCAAACAAUGCAUUUGGAUGGAUUCCAAGAUGCAACUUCAUGACCGAAAUGCAUAUAAUUGGAGGAAUAUGAGGGGUUGAUGCAUAUACAAUUGCGAUCUAUACGUUUUUUUUCCCCUUUUUUCUGUUUGGGUUUACACGGGUAGAGCGCUUAGGAUAGCAAGGGUUGCGGAAGGUUUGUCAGUUGGGCAUGUGCCAUAUGCUUACCGACACACUGGAAUGAUCACUCAAUGGGUCCCUAGGAAAUUAUUUUUCGUUUCCAAAAAUCAAGUUGACUAGAUGUUUAAACAACUAGAUGAUUAUAUGAAAGAAGGCGAUAUCUCUUUUCGUGUGAUUCAA
Vitis riparia (riverbank grape) is the source of this 762-nucleotide long non-coding RNA. RefSeq lists it as uncharacterized. The transcript is spliced from 2 exons. NCBI's taxonomy places the organism in Eukaryota, Viridiplantae, Streptophyta, Magnoliopsida, Vitales, Vitaceae. The record is from RefSeq and is a predicted model, not a curated record.